Molecule: transfer RNA, 84 nt
Filed under: Myxococcales bacterium
Lineage: Bacteria; Pseudomonadati; Myxococcota; Myxococcia; Myxococcales
Description: tRNA-Leu
Rfam family: tRNA
About the family: Transfer RNA (tRNA) molecules are approximately 80 nucleotides in length.
Source: RNAcentral
GCCAGAGUGGCGAAACUGGUAGACGCAGCGGACUCAAAAUCCGCCGGGGGCAACCCCAUGCCGGUUCGAGUCCGGCCUCUGGUA